GCUUUAAAGAAGAAAUGGUAAUCAUGGUUACGAAUUACACAGCCUCAUAGUAGUUUACAUUUUCUAGUUUUACAUUUUUUGCCUAAGUUCAAAAGCAAUGCAUGUUCAUUGAAGUCAAUUUGGAAGAAAUUGGAAAGCACUAAAGUUGGCAGCCUCGAUGGUUCCUUCUCUGUGGGGGAAUAUUGUCCUAUUAUGAUUCUCCUGAAGAUGCCUGGAAAGGUUGCAAAGGAAGCAUACAAAUGGCAGUCUGUGAAAUUCAAGUUCAUUCUGUAGAUAAUACACGCAUGGACCUGAUAAUCCCCGGGGAACAGUAUUUCUACCUGAAGGCCAGAAGUGUGGCUGAAAGACAGCGGUGGCUGGUGGCCCUGGGAUCAGCCAAGGCUUGCCUGACUGACAGUAGGACCCAGAAGGAGAAAGAGUUUGCUGAAAACACUGAAAACUUGAAAACCAAAAUGUCAGAACUAAGACUCUACUGUGACCUCCUUGUUCAGCAAGUAGAUAAAACAAAAGAAGUGACCACAACUGGUGUGUCCAAUUCAGAGGUAAGGGAGUCUUCCACUCUG
This 563-nucleotide small RNA is filed under the name Pongo abelii (Sumatran orangutan). Its description in RNAcentral is "processed transcript". The record is from RNAcentral. Lineage: Eukaryota; Metazoa; Chordata; Mammalia; Primates; Hominidae.